This 496-nucleotide ribosomal RNA is filed under the name uncultured bacterium. RNAcentral's name for it is "partial 16S ribosomal RNA". It matches the Rfam family "Bacterial small subunit ribosomal RNA", at positions 28 to 506 of the family's 1533-position model. The record is from RNAcentral.
GAUGAACGCUGGCGGCGUGCCUAAUACAUGCAAGUCGAGCGAACAGACGAGGAGCUUGCUCCUCUGACGUUAGCGGCGGACGGGUGAGUAACACGUGGAUAACCUACCUAUAAGACUGGGAUAACUUCGGGAAACCGGAGCUAAUACCGGAUAAUAUAUUGAACCGCAUGGUUCAAUAGUGAAAGACGGUUUUGCUGUCACUUAUAGAUGGAUCCGCGCCGCAUUAGCUAGUUGGUAAGGUAACGGCUUACCAAGGCAACGAUGCGUAGCCGACCUGAGAGGGUGAUCGGCCACACUGGAACUGAGACACGGUCCAGACUCCGACGGGAGGCAGAAGUAGGGAAUCUUCCGCAAUGGGCGAAAGCCUGACGGAGCAACGCCGCGUGAGUGAUGAAGGUCUUCGGAUCGUAAAACUCUGUUAUUAGGGAAGAACAAAUGUGUAAGUAACUAUGCACGUCUUGACGGUACCUAAUCAGAAAGCCACGGCGAACUACGU